GGUUUUUUGACGUCUUAUAAAAAAUCUGGCCUGCCCAAUGAAGAAAAACUCUUAAAUGGCCGCGAUAUUUUAAUCGUGCUAAGGUAGCAUAAUCAAUUGCCUAUUAAUUGUAGGCUGGAAUGAAUGGUUGGACCUGAAAUUAAUUGUCUUUGUGAUAAGUUGAAUUUUCCUUUUUUGUGAGGAGACAGAAAUGUAUUAAAAAGACGAGAAGACCCUAUUAAGUUUUACAUCAUUAGUAUUAAAAUUUGUAGUGAAAGUAAUAAGAAAAGAUGUUUUGCUGGGGUGGUUAAGAAUAAAAGAAACAUUUUUAGAGAAAAUGACUAAUAAGUGGUAAUGAUCCAAUGAUAUUGAGUUAAAGACUAAAUUACUAUAGGGAUAACAGCGUAAUUUUGUUUGGAAGUUCAAAUUUAUAACAAAGUUUGCGACCUCGAUGUUGGUUUAGGGGCCCUAUUUAGUGCAAAAAUUAAAAAAGGAGGUUUGUUCAACCAAUAAAUCCCUAUA
This 501-nucleotide ribosomal RNA is filed under the name Newportia monticola. RNAcentral describes it as "partial small subunit ribosomal RNA". It matches the Rfam family "Archaeal large subunit ribosomal RNA", at positions 1908 to 2669 of the family's 2987-position model. The record is from RNAcentral. Lineage: Eukaryota; Metazoa; Arthropoda; Chilopoda; Scolopendromorpha; Scolopocryptopidae.